ACCAAGGUUGACCUCGGAUCAGGUAGGAAUACCCGCUGAACUUAAGCAUAUCAAUA
Molecule: ribosomal RNA, 56 nt
Filed under: Podospora sp. SL1101
Lineage: Eukaryota; Fungi; Ascomycota; Sordariomycetes; Sordariales; Podosporaceae
Description: partial 28S ribosomal RNA
Source: RNAcentral